This 359-nucleotide ribosomal RNA is filed under the name uncultured Glomeromycotina. Its description in RNAcentral is "SSU rRNA". It matches the Rfam family "Eukaryotic small subunit ribosomal RNA", at positions 741 to 1098 of the family's 1831-position model. Lineage: Eukaryota; Fungi; Glomeromycota. The record is from RNAcentral.
AAACUGGACGUUUACUUUGAAAAAAUUAGAGUGCUCCAGGCAGGCCUAUGCUCGAAUAGAUUAGCAUGGAAUAAUGAAAUAGGACGGAUGAUCCUAUUUCGUUGGUUUCUAGGAUCACCGUAAUGAUUAAUAGGGACAGUUGGGGGCAUUAGUAUUCAAUUGUCAGAGGUGAAAUUCUUGGAUUUAUUGAAGACUAACUAUUGCGAAAGCAUUUGCCAAGGAUGUUUUCAUUAAUCAAGAACGAAAGUUAGGGGAUCGAAGACGAUCAGAUACCGUCGUAGUCUUAACCAUAAACUAUGCCGACUAGGGAUCGGACGAAGUUAAUUUUAUAAUGACGCGUUCGGCGCCUUACGGGAAAC